UCUUCUUGUUUUUAAGACCUAGCAAUAGGUAUGCUUAGGGAGGAGCUUGCGUCACAUUAGUUAGUUGGUGGGGUAAAGGCCUACCAAGACUAUGAUGUGUAGCCGGGCUGAGAGGUUGAACGGCCACAUUGGGACUGAGACACGGCCCAAACUCCUACGGGAGGCAGCAGUAGGGAAUUUUCGGCAAUGGAGGAAACUCUGACCGAGCAACGCCGCGUGAACGAUGAAGUAUUUCGGUACGUAAAGUUCUUUUAUUAGGGAAGAAUAAAUGAUGGAAAAAUCAUUCUGACGGUACCUAAUGAAUAAGCCCCGGCUAACUAUGUGCCAGCAGCCGCGGUAAUACAUAGGGGGCAAGGUUAUCCGGAAUUAUUGGGCGUAAAGGGUGCGUAGGCGGUUAAAUAAGUUUAUGGUCUAAGUGCAAUGCUCAAAUUGUGAUGCUAUAAAAACUGUUUAGCUAGAGUAAGAUAGAGGCAAGUGGAAUUCCAUGUGUAGUGGUAAAAUGCGUAAAUAUAUGGAGGAACACCAGUAGCGAAGGCGGCUUGCUGGGUCUUUACUGACGCUGAGGCACGAAAGCGUGGGGAGCAAACAGGAUUAGAUACCCUGGUAGUCCACGCCGUAAACGAUGAGUACUAAACGUUGGGUAAAACCAGUGUUGAAGUUAACACAUUAAGUACUCCGCCUGAGUAGUACGUACGCAAGUAUGAAACUUAAAGGAAUUGACGGGACUCCGCACAAGCGGUGGAUCAUGUUGUUUAAUUCGAAGGUACCCGAAAAACCUCACCAGGUCUUGACAUGCUUCUGCAAAGCUGUAGAAACACAGUGGAGGUUAUCAGUUGCACAGGUGGUGCAUGGUUGUCGUCAGCUCGUGUCGUGAGAUGUUGGGUUAAGUCCCGCAACGAGCGCAACCCUUAUUGUUAGUUACCAGCACGUAAUGGUGGGGACUUUAGCAAGACUGCCAGUGAUAAAUUGGAGGAAGGUGGGGACGACGUCAAAUCAUCAUGCCCCUUAUGACCUGGGCUACAAACGUGAUACAAUGGCUGUUACAAAGGGUAGCUGAAGCGCAAGUUUUUGGCGAAUCUCAAAAAAACAGUCUCAGUUCGGAUUGAAGUCUGCAACUCGACUUCAUGAAGUUGGAAUCGCUAGUAAUCGCGAAU
RNAcentral lists this ribosomal RNA (1154 nucleotides) under Candidatus Phytoplasma oryzae. RNAcentral's name for it is "bacterial SSU rRNA". It matches the Rfam family "Bacterial small subunit ribosomal RNA", at positions 178 to 1349 of the family's 1533-position model. The record is from RNAcentral. Lineage: Bacteria; Bacillati; Mycoplasmatota; Mollicutes; Acholeplasmatales; Acholeplasmataceae.